RNAcentral lists this small RNA (125 nucleotides) under Marmota monax (woodchuck). Lineage: Eukaryota; Metazoa; Chordata; Mammalia; Rodentia; Sciuridae. The record is from RNAcentral.
GCCGGGCAGGGUGGCGCCCUCCUGUAAUCCCAGUGACUCAGGAGGCGGAGGUAGGAGGAUCACAGGUUCAAAGCCAGCCUCAGCAACAGCAAGGCGCUAAGCAACUCAGUGAGACCCUGUCUCUA